GCAGUGGUAGUUCAGUGGUAGAAUUCUUGCCUUCCACACAGGAGACCCAGGUUCGAUUCCUGGCCAAUGCA
Loxodonta africana (African savanna elephant) is the source of this 71-nucleotide transfer RNA. It matches the Rfam family "tRNA". From Rfam's summary of the family: Transfer RNA (tRNA) molecules are approximately 80 nucleotides in length. Their secondary structure includes four short double-helical elements and three loops (D, anti-codon, and T loops). Further hydrogen bonds mediate the characteristic L-shaped molecular structure. tRNAs have two regions of fundamental functional importance: the anti-codon, which is responsible for specific mRNA codon recognition, and the 3' end, to which the tRNAs corresponding amino acid is attached (by aminoacyl-tRNA synthetases). tRNAs cope with the degeneracy of the genetic code in two manners: having more than one tRNA (with a specific anti-codon) for a particular amino acid; and 'wobble' base-pairing, i.e. permitting non-standard base-pairing at the 3rd anti-codon position. NCBI's taxonomy places the organism in Eukaryota, Metazoa, Chordata, Mammalia, Proboscidea, Elephantidae. The record is from Rfam.